UAGGGAAUAUUGGGCAAUGGCCGAGAGGCUGACCCAGCCAUGCCGCGUGCAGGAAGAAGGCCUUCUGGGUUGUAAACUGCUUUUACCAGGGAAGAAAACGCGCCUGCGGGCGUAACUGACGGUACCUGGUGAAUAAGCACCGGCUAACUCCGUGCCAGCAGCCGCGGUAAUACGGAGGGUGCAAGCGUUGUCCGGAUUUAUUGGGUUUAAAGGGUGCGUAGGCGGCCCGUUAAGUCAGCGGUGAAAUCCCAGGGCUCAACCCUGGAACUGCCGUUGAUACUGGCGGGCUUGAGUUCGGUCGAGGCGGGCGGAACUGGUGGUGUAGCGGUGAAAUGCAUAGAUACCACCAAGAACCCCGAUUGCGAAGGCAGCUCGCUGGGCCGAAACUGACGCUGAGGCACGAAAGCGUGGGGAGCGAACAGG
This 423-nucleotide ribosomal RNA is filed under the name uncultured bacterium. Its description in RNAcentral is "bacterial SSU rRNA". It matches the Rfam family "Bacterial small subunit ribosomal RNA", at positions 355 to 776 of the family's 1533-position model. The record is from RNAcentral.